Molecule: ribosomal RNA, 486 nt
Filed under: uncultured bacterium
Lineage: Bacteria
Description: partial 16S ribosomal RNA
Rfam family: Bacterial small subunit ribosomal RNA
Source: RNAcentral
GAUGAACGCUGGCGGCGUGCCUAAUACAUGCAAGUCGAACGCUGGAACUCUAGCUUGCUAGAUUGAAGGAGUGGCGAACGGGUGAGUAAUACAUAAGCAACCUACCCACGAAGACUGGGAUAAUCUCUGGAAACGGGGACUAAUACCGGAUAGGUAAUCGGAAGGCAUCUUCUGAUUAUUAAAGGUUAAAAACACUGGUGGAUGGGCUUAUGGCGCAUUAGUUAGUUGGUGAGGUAACGGCCCACCAAGACGAUGAUGCGUAGCCGGCCUGAGAGGGUGAACGGCCACAUUGGGACUGAGACACGGCCCAGACUCCUACGGGAGGCAGCAGUAGGGAAUGUUCGGCAAUGGGGGAAACCCUGACCGAGCAACGCCGCGUGAGUGAUGACGGCCUUCGGGUUGUAAAGCUCUGUUGUAAGGGAAGAACGGUAGAUAGAGAAUAUCUAAAUGACGGUACCUUACCAGAAAGCCACGGCUAACUACGUG